Molecule: RNA transcript, 2620 nt
Organism: Mirounga angustirostris (Northern elephant seal)
Lineage: Eukaryota; Metazoa; Chordata; Mammalia; Carnivora; Phocidae
Gene: ABCD4
Gene name: ATP binding cassette subfamily D member 4
Exons: 15
Source: RefSeq, a predicted model, not a curated record
UCUCUAUCCGCCCCUCUCUGUGGUCACCGUGGGCCCGCCCUCUUAGGCUGACCUAGUGCUCCUUGGACUCUUCCCGCAGCCGACUCCGGGGUACGGGGCGAGGAGGGUGGAAGCCGGCACAUGGCGGUCCCGGUGGCCGCGGCCGGGGCUGGCGCCAGGCCCAGGUUAGAUCUGCAAUUUCUCCAGCGGUUCCUGCAGAUACAGAAGGUUUUGUUUCCCUCCUGGUCAUCACAGAAUGCCUUGAUGUUCCUGACCCUGUUGUGUGUCGCCCUACUGAAACAACUGGUGAUCUACCAGGUUGGCUUGAUCCCCAGUCAGUACUAUGGGGUCCUGGGAAACAAAGACUUGGAUGGGUUUAAGACCCUGACAUUCCUGGCUGUGGUGCUCAUCGUUCUCAACUCCAUGCUGAAGAGCUUUGACCAGUUCACCUGCAACCUGCUGUAUGUGAGCUGGAGAAAGGACCUCACCGAGCACCUUCACCGCUUCUACUUCCAAGGCCGCGUGUACUACACCCUUAACGUGUUGCGGGAUGACGUCGAUAACCCGGACCAACGCAUCAGCCAGGAUGUGGAACGAUUCUGCCGACAGCUCAGCAGCAUGGCCAGCAAGCUGAUCAUCUCCCCCUUCACCCUCAUCUACUACACCUACCAGUGCUUCCAAAGCACGGGCUGGCUUGGGCCUGCGAGCAUCUUCGGGUAUUUCAUCCUGGGAACCCUUGUGAACAAAAUGUUGAUGGGGCCCAUUGUGGCAAAGCUGGUGCAGCAGGAGAAGCUGGAGGGGGAUUUCAGGUUCAAGCACAUGCAGAUCCGGGUGAAUGCUGAGCCUGCUGCUUUUUUCAGAGCUGGGCACGUGGAGCAUGUGAGGACAGACCGCAGGCUGCAGAGACUCCUUCAGACCCAGAGGGAGCUGAUGUCCAAGGAGCUCUGGCUGUACCUCGGUGUCAACACAUUCGACUAUCUGGGCAGCAUCCUGAGUUAUGUUGUGAUCGCCAUCCCUAUUUUCAGUGGUGUCUAUGGAGACCUGAGCCCCACAGAGCUCAGCACUCUGGUCAGCAAGAAUGCCUUUGUGUGCAUUUACCUCAUCAGCUGCUUCACCGGCCUCAUCGACCUCUCCGGCACGUUCUCAGAUGUGGCUGGUUACACACACAGAAUCGGGGAACUUCAGGAGACCCUGCUGGACAUGUCCCUGAAGUCGCGGGGUGGCGAGGUCCUGGACGAGAGCGAGUGGGACGUGGACAGGGCCCCAGAGUGGCCGGUCGCAGAGCCAACAGACACAGCUUUUCUCCUUGAGCGGGUCUCCAUCUGUGCCCCCUCCUCUAAUAAACCCUUAAUCAGGGAUCUGAGCCUGAGGAUCUCUGAGGGGCAGAGCCUGCUCAUCACAGGCAACACGGGCACGGGCAAGACGUCAUUGCUCCGGGUUCUCGGCGGCCUCUGGGCAAGCACACGGGGCUCAGUGCAGAUGCUGACAGACUUUGGACCCCAUGGGGUGCUGUUCCUGCCACAAAAGCCAUUCUUCACGGAUGGGACCCUUCGGGAGCAGGUCAGCCUGGGGCCCGCACCUACCUCUGGCUACCGGAGACCUCUGGCAGUCUGACAGGUUUCAGCUCUAGAAAGUUAUGGGGCAGAAGGUGGGGUAGUAAAUGGCUCCUGCCCAGGAACUCCCUGGUUCUACGAACAUUUUACUCACUUCCGUGGAUUGGGCCAUGUAGUUAGAGCAGCUCCUGGGGGCAGGUUAACCUGUGGGGGCCGAAACCAAAUACCACAUAUAUUUGUUGGCCGCCAAGGUUGGAUUCUGGACGCUGUGUCCUUAGGAGGCUCACAGACUCUUUCCCCUCAGACACACAUCUGACGUUUGCAGUGACCCUGUCCCACUGUCUGCUGUCCCCGGCUCUCCCACUGGACCCUUGGCCGGGCUGGUCCUUACCAUCCUCAGGUGGAGAGGAGCCUGGCCUCUGGCAGUUCCUGGGACUGUAUCCUCCUGGGGAGGAUAGGCUUUGUGCAGCACUGCCUCUCAUUGGCCCUCAUCUUGGGCCUGUGUGGUUUUGUUUUAUCAGGUGAUAUAUCCCCUGAAGGAAAUCUACCCGGACUCAGGUGAGCUGGGCCUCCUUGGGGCAUGUCCUCCCAUCUAAAUUGCCCCUGCUCUGCCUGAUUAGGGCCUCGCCAGUGCCUUUUGGCAGAGGUUCCAGCAAGGCUGCUGGUUUGAGGGAGUUUUCUUCUCCUUCAAGUGUUUACUAUUUUGGGGUCUGUACCCUGACCUCGUCUUGUUCUGUCUUCCCCUCCUUGAGGAGAGACCCCCAUUGGAGGAAGGGAAGGGACUGCUUCCUUCGCCUGGCCCUUCCUUUGUGUAUUAAGUGCUGUAACCCUGUCACUGCAGAGCUUUAGCCCAGAUUCUGGCACCCCCCCAGCCCUACCCCCUUCCACGAUGUACCCCCUCUCUUCUGGCUGCCCAGAGGAACGGACUUCUUGAAGAAGGCUUGUCUGUUUUGCAGGUUCUACUGAUGAUGAGAGGAUCAUGAGGUUCCUGGAGCUGGCAGGCCUGUCCAGUUUGGUGACCAGGACAGAGGGUCUGGACCAGCAAGUUGAUUGGAACUGGAGAGAUGCAGAGGCUCUCCUUUGCCCGG